This 310-nucleotide ribosomal RNA is filed under the name uncultured bacterium. Its description in RNAcentral is "bacterial SSU rRNA". It matches the Rfam family "Bacterial small subunit ribosomal RNA", at positions 28 to 334 of the family's 1533-position model. The record is from RNAcentral.
GACGAACGCUGGCGGCGCGCCUAACACAUGCAAGUCGAACGGUAACAGGAAGAAGCUUGCUUCUUUGCUGACGAGUGGCGGACGGGUGAGUAAUGUCUGGGAAACUGCCUGAUGGAGGGGGAUAACUACUGGAAACGGUAGCUAAUACCGCAUAACGUCGCAAGACCAAAGAGGGGGACCUUCGGGCCUCUUGCCAUCGGAUGUGCCCAGAUGGGAUUAGCUAGUAGGUGGGGUAACGGCUCACCUAGGCGACGAUCGGUAGCCGGACUGAGAGGUUGAUCGGCCACAUUGGGACUGAGACACGGCCCAG